GUGCUCACUUCAGCAGCACAUGUACUAAAAUUGGAACAAUAUAGAGAAGAUUAGCAUGGCCCCUGUGUAAGGAUAACAUGCAAAAAUGUUCCUCUUAUGU
RNAcentral lists this small nuclear RNA (100 nucleotides) under Chinchilla lanigera (long-tailed chinchilla). The record is from RNAcentral. Lineage: Eukaryota; Metazoa; Chordata; Mammalia; Rodentia; Chinchillidae.